UACGUAGGGGGCAAGCGUUGUCCGGAAUUAUUGGGCGUAAAGCGUGCGCAGGCGGUUUUGUAAGUCUGUCGUGAAAUCCCCGGGCUCAACCUGGGAAUUGCGAUGGAGACUGCAAGGCUAGAAUCUGGCAGAGGGGGGUAGAAUUCCACGUGUAGCAGUGAAAUGCGUAGAGAUGUGGAGGAACACCGAUGGCGAAGGCAGCCCCCUGGGUCAAGAUUGACGCUCAUGCACGAAAGCGUGGGGAGCAAACAGG
This 253-nucleotide ribosomal RNA is filed under the name uncultured bacterium. RNAcentral describes it as "partial 16S ribosomal RNA". It matches the Rfam family "Bacterial small subunit ribosomal RNA", at positions 524 to 776 of the family's 1533-position model. The record is from RNAcentral.